Molecule: unclassified non-coding RNA, 242 nt
Filed under: Megachile rotundata (alfalfa leafcutting bee)
Lineage: Eukaryota; Metazoa; Arthropoda; Insecta; Hymenoptera; Megachilidae
Description: uncharacterized LOC105663500, transcript variant X2
Source: RNAcentral
CGUGUCAGUUCAGGUGUGAUUGUCAUACGGUGCACUCUACGUAUCAAAUUAUUCUCGCACAGUACAUGAGGACAAUUAAUCUUUGUCGUUUAAGAAUAACUCGCAUGCCAAAAAAGAAACUGGAUAUUUCGUCGCAAUGUCGGAGUCCGUGAAAGUGGCCGUGAGAUGUCGGCCGAUGAACGCUCGGGAAUUGCAACAGGGAUGCAGGGUACGUCAGCAAUGGCGAAGGACAAUGAACGAGA